This 518-nucleotide long non-coding RNA is filed under the name Daucus carota (carrot). Its description in RNAcentral is "long non-coding RNA (DCAR_LNC001180)". The record is from RNAcentral. Lineage: Eukaryota; Viridiplantae; Streptophyta; Magnoliopsida; Apiales; Apiaceae.
AUGAUUUGUUGGUGCAAUUAGUAGUACUACUUAUGCUUAUAAACUGAACUAAAGUCUCCACACGACUCGAUGUGGGACUGGGGUGUUACAAACUCCCCCACUUAAAUUCCUGACGUCCUCGUCAGGCCGAAACGGAUAGCCCAUAGGCCCAGAUCGAACCUCUCUAGCCAUUGUGGGAUAAUACCGGCUGGCUUCGUGUCCCCGCCUCCGGAUCUCUGUCCAUUGCGGGAUAAUACCACCAGCCUUCGUGUCCCCACCUCCGGCAACUUGACGAAUCAAGCUUUCGAGAGCCUGCUCUGAAUACCAUAUGAAACAACCCGGGUCAAAUCCCGAGUCUUUUUCGAAAAUCGGGUCAAGUCCCGAAAUCCGAAUCCGAAAAUAAGCCCAAAUAUACUGGCCCAAUUGCAACAACUUGGGUAAUCCACAAGCCCACCACAGGCCCCCAAAAGAUCAUGAUUUGUUGGUGCAAUUAGUAGUACUACUUAUGCUUAUAAACUGAACUAAAGUCUCCACACGAC